Molecule: long non-coding RNA, 145 nt
Organism: Cucurbita maxima (winter squash)
Lineage: Eukaryota; Viridiplantae; Streptophyta; Magnoliopsida; Cucurbitales; Cucurbitaceae
Exons: 3
Source: RefSeq, a predicted model, not a curated record
UCAACCUCAACUCCCACUUGCUUCACCUCUUAUUCCUCAGCAACAGUCUCAGGAGUUUUUUGAGUAUCCACUACAACAUCACUCUGUGAAUUUUUCUGCAACUCAACCUCAACUCCCAUUUGCUUCACCUGUAGUGUUUCAGAAA